Molecule: ribosomal RNA, 744 nt
Filed under: uncultured bacterium
Lineage: Bacteria
Description: bacterial SSU rRNA
Rfam family: Bacterial small subunit ribosomal RNA
Source: RNAcentral
AGAGUUUGAUCCUGGCUCAGAACGAACGCUGGCGGCAGGCCUAACACAUGCAAGUCGAACGCCUGUAGCAAUACAGGAGUGGCGCACGGGUGAGUAACGCGUGGGAAUCUGCCCUUCGGUACGGAAUAACCGCGGGAAACUGCGGCUAAUACCGUAUACGCCCUCAGGGGGAAAGCUCCGGCGCCGAAGGAUGAGCCCGCGUCCGAUUAGCUAGUUGGCGGGGUAAAAGCCCACCAAGGCGACGAUCGGUAGCUGGUCUGAGAGGAUGAUCAGCCACACUGGAACUGAGACACGGUCCAGACUCCUACGGGAGGCAGCAGUGGGGAAUAUUGGACAAUGGGGGCAACCCUGAUCCAGCCAUGCCGCGUGAGUGAAGAAGGCCCUAGGGUUGUAAAACUCUUUCGGCGGGGAAGAUGAUGACGGUACCCGCAGAAGAAGCCCCGGCUAACUUCGUGCCAGCAGCCGCGGUAAUACGAAGGGGGCUAGCGUUGUUCGGAAUUACUGGGCGUAAAGGGCGUGUAGGCGGCUCACUAAGUCACGUGUGAAAGCCCCGGGCUUAACCCGGGAAUUGCGCGUGAGACUGGUGAGCUAGAAUCCGGGAGAGGGUAGUGGAAUUCCCAGUGUAGAGGUGAAAUUCGUAGAUAUUGGGAAGAACACCAGUGGCGAAGGCGGCUACCUGGACCGGUAUUGACGCUAAGGCGCGAAAGCGUGGGGAGCAAACAGGAUUAGAUACCCUAGUAGUCC